RNAcentral lists this transfer RNA (72 nucleotides) under Sus scrofa (pig). It matches the Rfam family "tRNA". From Rfam's summary of the family: Transfer RNA (tRNA) molecules are approximately 80 nucleotides in length. Their secondary structure includes four short double-helical elements and three loops (D, anti-codon, and T loops). Further hydrogen bonds mediate the characteristic L-shaped molecular structure. tRNAs have two regions of fundamental functional importance: the anti-codon, which is responsible for specific mRNA codon recognition, and the 3' end, to which the tRNAs corresponding amino acid is attached (by aminoacyl-tRNA synthetases). tRNAs cope with the degeneracy of the genetic code in two manners: having more than one tRNA (with a specific anti-codon) for a particular amino acid; and 'wobble' base-pairing, i.e. permitting non-standard base-pairing at the 3rd anti-codon position. Lineage: Eukaryota; Metazoa; Chordata; Mammalia; Artiodactyla; Suidae. The record is from Rfam by way of RNAcentral.
UCCCUGGUGGUCUAAUGGUUAGGACUGGGCAUUUUCACUGCUGCAGCCUGGAUUCAAUUCCUAGUCUGGGGA